UGUUGAGCAGUGGCACCGAGUAACCACCCUGUCCAAGAAGUGAUUCACAGAGGAAGGCCAGCAUAGAAGAAGGCUGAAAUGAAAGGGAAGAAUGAGGCUAACUGAGCAGCCCCAGAAGACACAUAAGAAAUACUUCACCUGAAACAUAACGAGAAGCUGCACUCCAAUCACUGAUGAAGCCAGACUGGAGCAAACCUUCCAGAGCAUGCAGAGGGUGAAGGUCACAUCCUCCACAGAAGCUGGUUUGCACUGCAGAGUUUUUCCUGUUGGCAUCAUGCUGCUUGCUAAUAUAGACCUAUCCUAAGUCA
Pipra filicauda (Wire-tailed manakin) is the source of this 308-nucleotide long non-coding RNA. RefSeq lists it as uncharacterized. The transcript has 2 exons. NCBI's taxonomy places the organism in Eukaryota, Metazoa, Chordata, Aves, Passeriformes, Pipridae. The record is from RefSeq and is a predicted model, not a curated record.